AAUAAUUUGAUUAUAACUUAUUAAGAUUGUAGAGUAGAAUCUAAAUUUCUAGAAGGGAUAAUUGGUCUAAAGCAUAGGAUUUAUUUUAGGGACCAGGAUUAGAUACCCUGUUACUUUUAAUUAAAUAAUUUUGGAAUAAUAGUUUUUAUGAAAUUUAACGGAUUUGGCGGCAAGAUAGCCCCUUAGAGGAACCUGCCCUGUAAACGAUGAACCACGAGAGACCCUACUUUUUUUGGUGAUCAGUUUGUAUAUCGCUGUUGUCAGUUAGAUUCUUGAGAAUAUUUUCAUUCAUGAUAAGUUCAUUGACUUCAAGUAAAGGUGCAGCUUAUAGAAAAGAUAGAGGUGGGUUACAUUUAUAAGAUUAAAUACGGAUAAGAUGAAUGAAACAUUCUUUGAAGGUGGAUUUAACUGUAAAACUUAAUUAAGUUUGGUGAGAGCUCUAUCUUGUGUACACACCGCCCGUCGCUCUCUUUUUUAA
This 478-nucleotide ribosomal RNA is filed under the name Tesseropora rosea. Its description in RNAcentral is "partial 12S ribosomal RNA". The record is from RNAcentral. Lineage: Eukaryota; Metazoa; Arthropoda; Thecostraca; Balanomorpha; Tetraclitidae.